GUGACUCUCGCCGGCGGGGAGGGGCGUGGACCCAAGAAGUCCCUGUGCGCUUGCGCAGAGACCGAACUACCGCUUUCCCCGUAACCAGGGAGACUGCAGUUUGCAGUGAUGUGGCUAAGAUACCCUUGUGCUAUUAAAGGCACAUUUACGUAUCUUUCAACGCAGUUUGUACCUUUGUUUAGGGUUCUAUUGAACUUUCUCUGUGCUCUUUAGAAAACCGUCGAAUAAAGGUAACCAUCUUUUUGGGUGCCUGGGCAUGGUCAUUGUCCCAGAGUUUUAACAGAAGUCUCUACUAAAGUAUCCUGAUUUGCAAGAACUCAAAUGAUGCUGUUUUUGGACAGGGAGGUCAUGGACCAAGUACAAAGCGGCAAAAGGAUGGAAUUAAGGGAUAUUUCCAGUGAAAGAAAGAAGAAAGCAUGCUUUUCUCUUGACUGUGCAGAAAAAAAAACUAUGUUUCUUUGAUUCUCCAUUUUACUAGAUGCCAUACCUUUGCAAUUACUUCAUGUGGAGUCUUGACCAAGAUUCAGGAAAUACUAGAACUUUCAGUCCCAGAAGGUUACUCUGGGCAUUACUAGUCCCCAUCAUUAUGAGUUGAGUUUUACUAGUUAAUUUCAGACGAAAAAUAUUUGUUUUUCCCCAAAUUCUGGGGUUACGUACUUUUACUACCUAUGAACUGACAACUGUAUCUUCAGUAAUUACAAUUUCCAACAAAAUGUUAUAGGAAUAAAGAAAAGAUGUUAGUUCAUUAUUCAGAGUUUAUGUUUAUUCCUUUAAUAAAAAGAAAUGGUCUGUAUUUCUUCUUUUCACAUUUAUUUCCUCAGUUCAAACCUGCUUUUCAGGUUAUCCUAUGACUUGAAGUUGACUAAUUUGUUCACCUUAAUUAGUUGUGUUGCAAUAUAUAUGUAAUUAGCUAUUUGCAUUGCAACCUGCACAAAAUUAUUCCUGUUCAUAAACUACUGAGAGGAAAGGGGCUUAAAGUUCAAAGGAGU
Molecule: long non-coding RNA, 989 nt
Filed under: Homo sapiens (human)
Lineage: Eukaryota; Metazoa; Chordata; Mammalia; Primates; Hominidae
Description: HSALNT0319478
Source: RNAcentral